RNAcentral lists this unclassified non-coding RNA (205 nucleotides) under Puccinia caricis-stipatae. Its description in RNAcentral is "ITS2". Lineage: Eukaryota; Fungi; Basidiomycota; Pucciniomycetes; Pucciniales; Pucciniaceae. The record is from RNAcentral.
GAAAAUCUCUCAUCAAAUUAAUUUUUGGUGGAUGUUGAGUGCUGCUGCUAUCUAGCUCACUUUAAAUAUAUAAGUUCUUUCUACUAUGUUGUUGGAUUGACUUGGUGUAAUAUCUUUUUCAUCAAGGAAAGUAGCAAUACUUGCCAAUAAUAAUGGAAUGAGGACUCUUAAACAAUUGAUUUUAUUAUCAACAACCUAUUUAUUU